AACGAACGCUUGCUGCAUGCUUUAUACAUGCAAGUCGAACGGAGGCCCUAGCUUGCUAGGUGUCCUUAGUGGCGCACGGGUGAGUAACACGUGGGAACAUACCUCAUAGUACGGAAUAACUGCGGGAAACUGUAGCUAAUACCGUAUAUUCCAGCAAUGGGAAAGAUUUAUCGCUAUGAGAUUGGCCCGCGCAAGAUUAGUUUGUUGGUAAGGUAAUGGCUUACCAAGGCUACGAUCUUUAGCUGGUUUGAGAGGAUGAUCAGCCACACUGGGACUGAGACACGGCCCAGACUCCUACGGGAGGCAGCAGUAGGGAAUAUUGGACAAUGGGGGCAACCCUGAUCCAGCAAUGCAGCGUGAGUGACGAAGGCCUUAGGGUUGUAAAACUCUUUCAUCGGUGAGGAUAAUGACNGUAGCCGAAGAAGAAGGACCGGCUAAUUCCGUGCC
RNAcentral lists this ribosomal RNA (447 nucleotides) under uncultured Alphaproteobacteria bacterium. RNAcentral's name for it is "bacterial SSU rRNA". It matches the Rfam family "Bacterial small subunit ribosomal RNA", at positions 29 to 509 of the family's 1533-position model. Lineage: Bacteria; Pseudomonadati; Pseudomonadota; Alphaproteobacteria. The record is from RNAcentral.